This 485-nucleotide ribosomal RNA is filed under the name uncultured bacterium. Its description in RNAcentral is "partial 16S ribosomal RNA". It matches the Rfam family "Bacterial small subunit ribosomal RNA", at positions 28 to 523 of the family's 1533-position model. The record is from RNAcentral.
GAUGAACGCUGGCGGCGUGCUUAACACAUGCAAGUCGAACGAGAACGGAAUAUAGCUUGCUAUAUUUGUCAGCUAAGUGGCGCACGGGUGAGUAAUGUAUAGAUAACCUGCCCUUAAGAAAGGAAUAACAGUUGGAAACGACCGCUAAUGCCCUAUAUGCCUUUAAUACAUAAGUAUGCAAGGGAAACGCUUUAGUGCUUAAGGAUGGGUCUGUAUGGUAUCAGCUUGUUGGUGAGGUAAUGGCUCACCAAGGCUAUGACGCCUAACUGGUUUGAGAGGAUGAUCAGUCACACUGGAACUGAGACACGGUCCAGACUCCUACGGGAGGCAGCAGUGGGGAAUAUUGCACAAUGGACGAAAGUCUGAUGCAGCAACGCCGCGUGGAGGAUGACACAUUUCGGUGCGUAAACUCCUUUUAUAUAGGAAGAUAAUGACGGUACUAUAUGAAUAAGCACCGGCUAACUCCGUGCCAGCAGCCGCCGCAG